AACGAACGCUGGCGGCAUGCCUAACACAUGCAAGUCGAACGAGAUCUUCGGGUCUAGUGGCGCACGGGUGCGUAACGCGUGGGAAUCUGCCCUUUGGUUCGGAAUAACAGUUGGAAACGACUGCUAAUACCGGAUGAUGACGAAAGUCCAAAGUUUUAUCGCCAGAGGAUGAGCCCGCGUAGGAUUAGCUAGUUGGUGUGGUAAAGGCGCACCAAGGCGACGAUCCUUAGCUGGUCUGAGAGGAUGAUCAGCCACACUGGGACUGAGACACGGCCCAGACUCCUACGGGAGGCAGGAGUGGGAAUAUUGGACAAUGGGCGAAAGCCUGAUCCAGCAAUGCCGCGUGAGUGAUGAAGGCCUUAGGGUUGUAAAGCUCUUUUACCCGGGAUGAUAAUGACAGUACCGGGAGAAUAAGCUCCGGCUAACUCCGUGCCAGCAGCCGCGGUAA
This 448-nucleotide ribosomal RNA is filed under the name uncultured bacterium. RNAcentral's name for it is "partial 16S ribosomal RNA". It matches the Rfam family "Bacterial small subunit ribosomal RNA", at positions 29 to 523 of the family's 1533-position model. The record is from RNAcentral.